CCAGUCGGAUGUCUUGUCGCUGGCAUGUUCGCACAUGCGGGAGGAAAGUCCGGGCAACGCAGAGCACCAUGCUUCCUAACGGGAAGUGGGCAGUGAUGUUCAGGUCAGGCAGAAGAAAACAACCGCCAUGGCUUUGCCGUGGUAAGGGUGAGAAGGUGAGGCAAGAGCUCACCGCGGCGGUGGUGACAUCGCCGGCAGUGCCGCCAUGGGUUGAAAGUUCAAGUAUAUCAACGUUAUCAGGGUUGCUCGCCCGAGUUGAGUGGGUGGAACGAUAGAGCCUCCGGGUGACCGUAGGCGUAGAUAAAUGACAAGAGCUGACCUUGUGUCAGUACAGAACCCGGCUUACAGUCUGACUGGUUUU
RNAcentral lists this RNase P RNA (361 nucleotides) under Paludibacteraceae bacterium. RNAcentral's name for it is "RNase P RNA component class A". It matches the Rfam family "Bacterial RNase P class A". From Rfam's summary of the family: Ribonuclease P (RNase P) is a ubiquitous endoribonuclease, found in archaea, bacteria and eukarya as well as chloroplasts and mitochondria. Its best characterised activity is the generation of mature 5'-ends of tRNAs by cleaving the 5'-leader elements of precursor-tRNAs. RNAcentral also lists the same sequence under 1 other name. Lineage: Bacteria; Pseudomonadati; Bacteroidota; Bacteroidia; Bacteroidales; Paludibacteraceae. The record is from RNAcentral.